Molecule: transfer RNA, 72 nt
Filed under: Schistocephalus solidus
Lineage: Eukaryota; Metazoa; Platyhelminthes; Cestoda; Diphyllobothriidea; Diphyllobothriidae
Rfam family: tRNA
About the family: Transfer RNA (tRNA) molecules are approximately 80 nucleotides in length. Their secondary structure includes four short double-helical elements and three loops (D, anti-codon, and T loops).
Source: Rfam by way of RNAcentral
GGCCUCGUAGCUCAGUUGGCUAGAGCGUUGGCUUUCCCUUUGCUGGCGUGGAUUCGAAUCCCACCGAGGCUG